AAUAUUGGGCAAUGGGGGCAACCCUGAUCCAGCCAUGCCGCGUGAGUGAUGAAGGCCUNAGGGUUNUNAAGCUCUCUCAGUGGGGNCGAUAAUGACGGUACUCACACAAGAAGCCCCGGCUAACUUCGUGCCAGCAGCCGCGGUAAUACGAAGGGGGCUAGCGUUGUUCGGAUUUACUGGGCGUAAAGCGCACGUAGGCGGAUUGGUCAGUUAGGGGUGAAAUCCCGGAGCUCAACUCCGGAACUGCCUUUAAUACUGCCAGUCUAGAGUCCGAGAGAGGUGAGUGGAACUCCUAGUGUAGAGGUGGAAUUCGUAGAUAUUAGGAAGAACACCAGUGGCGAAGGCGGCUCACUGGCUCGGUACUGACGCUGAGGUGCGAAAGCGUGGGGAGCAAAC
This 396-nucleotide ribosomal RNA is filed under the name uncultured bacterium. Its description in RNAcentral is "partial 16S ribosomal RNA". It matches the Rfam family "Bacterial small subunit ribosomal RNA", at positions 360 to 773 of the family's 1533-position model. The record is from RNAcentral.